UGAGGAAUAUUGGUCAAUGGGCGAGAGCCUGAACCAGCCAAGUCGCGUGAAGGAAGACAGUCCUAAGGAUUGUAAACUUCUUUUAUACGGGAAUAACGGGCGAUACGAGUAUUGCAUUGAAUGUACCGUAAGAAUAAGCAUCGGCUAACUCCGUGCCAGCAGCCGCGGUAAUACGGAGGAUGCGAGCGUUAUCCGGAUUUAUUGGGUUUAAAGGGUGCGUAGGUUGUUCGGUAAGUCAGCGGUGACACCUGAGCGCUCAACGUUCAGCCUGCCGUUGAAACUGCCGGGCUUGAGUUCAGUGGCGGCAGGCGGAAUUCGUGGUGUAGCGGUGAAAUGCAUAGAUAUCACGAGGAACUCCGAUUGCGAAGGCAGCUUGCCAUACUGCGACUGACACUGAAGCACGAAGGCGUGGGUAUCAAACAGG
This 424-nucleotide ribosomal RNA is filed under the name Fusobacteriota bacterium. RNAcentral describes it as "Fusobacteria bacterium partial 16S ribosomal RNA". It matches the Rfam family "Bacterial small subunit ribosomal RNA", at positions 355 to 776 of the family's 1533-position model. Lineage: Bacteria; Fusobacteriati; Fusobacteriota. The record is from RNAcentral.